GGAAUUUUCCGCAAUGGGCGAAAGCCUGACGGAGCAACGCCGCGUGAGGGAUGAAGGCCUCUGGGCUGUAAACCUCUUUUCUCAAGGAAGAAGAACUGACGGUACUUGAGGAAUAAGCCACGGCUAAUUCCGUGCCAGCAGCCGCGGUAAUACGGGAGUGGCAAGCGUUAUCCGGAAUUAUUGGGCGUAAAGCGUCCGCAGGCGGCCCUGUAAGUCUGUCGUUAAAGCGUGGAGCUUAACUCCAUUUGAGCGAUGGAAACUACAGGGCUUGAGUGUGGUAGGGGCAGAGGGAGUUCCCGGUGUAGCGGUGAAAUGCGUAGAUAUCGGGAAGAACACCAGUGGCGAAGGCGCUCUGCUGGGCCAUAACUGACGCUCAUGGACGAAAGCCAGGGGAGCGAAAGGGAUUAGAUACCCCUGUAGUCCUGGCCGUAAACGAUGAACACUAGGUGUCGGGGGGAUCGACCCCCUCGGUGUCGUAGCCAACGCGUUAAGUGUUCCGCCUGGGGAGUACACACGCAAGUGUGAAACUCAAAGGAAUUGACGGA
Molecule: ribosomal RNA, 545 nt
Filed under: uncultured bacterium
Lineage: Bacteria
Description: bacterial SSU rRNA
Rfam family: Bacterial small subunit ribosomal RNA
Source: RNAcentral